This 549-nucleotide ribosomal RNA is filed under the name Staphylococcus aureus. RNAcentral's name for it is "partial 23S ribosomal RNA". It matches the Rfam family "Bacterial large subunit ribosomal RNA", at positions 545 to 1095 of the family's 2925-position model. Lineage: Bacteria; Bacillati; Bacillota; Bacilli; Caryophanales; Staphylococcaceae. The record is from RNAcentral.
AGAACCUGAAACCGUGUGCUUACAAGUAGUCAGAGCCCGUUAAUGGGUGAUGGCGUGCCUUUUGUAGAAUGAACCGGCGAGUUACGAUUUGAUGCAAGGUUAAGCAGUAAAUGUGGAGCCGUAGCGAAAGCGAGUCUGAAUAGGGCGUUUAGUAUUUGGUCGUAGACCCGAAACCAGGUGAUCUACCCUUGGUCAGGUUGAAGUUCAGGUAACACUGAAUGGAGGACCGAACCGACUUACGUUGAAAAGUGAGCGGAUGAACUGAGGGUAGCGGAGAAAUUCCAAUCGAACCUGGAGAUAGCUGGUUCUCUCCGAAAUAGCUUUAGGGCUAGCCUCAAGUGAUGAUUAUUGGAGGUAGAGCACUGUUUGGACGAGGGGCCCCUCUCGGGUUACCGAAUUCAGACAAACUCCGAAUGCCAAUUAAUUUAACUUGGGAGUCAGAACAUGGGUGAUAAGGUCCGUGUUCGAAAGGGAAACAGCCCAGACCACCAGCUAAGGUCCCAAAAUAUAUGUUAAGUGGAAAAGGAUGUGGCGUUGCCCAGACAACUA